AUGGUCAACAAAAACACGGCGUUUAUGGAGUAGGCAGUGAACUUUUGUUUCACCAACAGGAAAGCAAACCCCGCCGUGAAAGCCAACUGCGACGCGAUGAUCAAAGAAGAAGUCGAAACGGGGAGACGAGAUAAGCCAUAGGAGUAGAGGUAGUUAUCGAGGCCACUGAGGAUCCCGAGGACGAUAGCGGCAACGAACAACGGUCGUUCCAUACAGAUAAGCUUGUUUUCCGAGGUGGGAUUGGCCGUCCUGGAACGAUGCACGUAAGCACAAGCGAUGGGGAGCAAGAUGAUGGGGCAACCCGCGGUCUGGAGCCAGCUCGAGAACCAGAUCCGGUUCCCACCAUGGAUGAAGUAGAGACGGGCGAUAAGUGGAGCACCGCAGUUGCCUAUAGAAAGGAUGAUGCAGUUUAUUAUUAAGAGAGCUUUUCUUAUGGUGCCACCAUCCUUCACGUUCAUGAUUAAAUUCUCUGUUUUGUAUUUGGAUAUUUUUGCAUCUCCUUCCUCUGUUUUCAAGGUGUUUGUAGAAUGGAAGAAAGCCGAAGUAAGGAUAAGACAACCAUAUAGGUGCUAUUAUCCAACUCGUUAUAUUAAAUUCCAUAAUUUACGUGCAUUUCGAAGCAACUAUAAGUAUUGUAAUCUAUGAUAUAGAUUGUUAUUAUAAGGUUGAAACAUGGGAUCGAUACCUCAUUUGAUUUUUUUUAAAAACUAUUUUCGUGCAAAAAGGGGUUUUAAGACUUGUAGUUCAAAGAAAAAAUUCAUUCUGAAUCAAUUCGAUUCAUCCAGUGUUUAUCAAAGAGGGUCAGAGAAUUUUAUUGUUGAUGCAACGUCUAACAAACAUUCCAUAACUGUUGGUCUUCAUCAGCUCUCAAUAACAGCCAUGAAAUAUUGCGGUCGGGAUACUAAUAGCUGCAUUUGCAUUAUCCACUCAACUCAGCAAAUUCAUUUCGUUUCAAUGUUGAAAUUUUUUAACACUACUUAGGCACUGAAUAUACAGUUGAACACUAACUAUUUUAUGCUGCAAUUGUUCAAAACAUUAUAUUACAUGGUAGCAUUAAAGAGGUUCUUUUUGUGUACAUUGAAGUCAUCUUUUAACUAAUUUUGUCUUGUCUUAGUAUUGUAUCUAAGUACCAUCUAUAAAUACCUUCACUUGCCACUAAGAUGAGUGUCCAUUAUUGCAAUUUAAAAAUUUUAAAAAUUUAACAAAAUUCAAAUGAGAUAAAAACAGAGGUGUUAUGGGACAAAGUUAGGUCCGGUUUAAAAAAAUUAUAAGAAAAUAAAAAAAAACUUUUAUAAACAAAAAAAAAAUCAAAAUACACAUAAAACUUAAAAAAAUAAUUCAAAAAAACAAAAAAGAACAUAUUAAAAAUUGAUAGGUGAUGAUGAAGAAGUUUAAGGAUCUGAUCCACAAAGUUGAAUUUUCUUUUUAUUACAAAAUAUCACUGAUUUAACUUGACCAACAAAUGACCUAAGCUAAAUACUAGAAUAUAAAUAUCAACCUCCGCUUCAUGCGGAUGACCCUUGGUCCCAUUAAAAUAUUUCUUACGUUGACCGAUUAUUUAACUGUGAGUCUUCAGCACCGGUCAAAUACCACUGUCUUUUUUAAUAUUAUAUAUAUUGAUUAAAAAAUAAAUUUGAAAAUAUUUCUUAUAAAAUUCAAAAUAAUACAUAAAAGAUGGUAAAUGUUUUAAAAAUGAAAAAAGUAAAUAAAUUUAACUUUUUUCUUUGUAUGGGGUUGGCGUUGACUCUUGUUGUCUCCUCCGGCCAGCAGUCGUGGAUCCACCAGCUCGCCCCGAAUUACGUGGUGGGUGACAUUUUUGGGAAGAACUGCACCUCAUCCAAUCCCUCAAUAGGUAAAUAGUUCUGGGAUUAGAAUCCUAAUUUGUUUUUGAGGGUUUAGUUAGGCCAGCUUUGGAAGAGGGGAAGAGUAACAAUAAAUCUAAUAAAAAGUUUCGAUUUCACCACUUUUCUGGGUUUCUUUUUUCUUUUCGAGAGGGAAAAGUACAAGUGAAAUGAAAAUAUUUAUUAAAUGUUUUGAAAAUUUGUUUUAUAUUUUUUCUGGUUAUUUUAAUUGGGAUAAAAUUGAGAUUUUUUUAGAAUCAUCAACAAACUAAAAAUAUUGAAACUCCCACAACAUCUCAUGUUGCAAAGUUUAACGGUAAGUAACAGUUUAUAAUUUUUUUAAUGGGUGGGUGACCUACCCAGUAGAUUCACGAAGCAUAUUUUAUUUAGUUGUCUUUAUGCAUAACUAAAGAUAAAAAAUAAAAAAAAUGUUAUAUCAUGAUUUAUCAUUAAAUUAUAUUCGUCUUCUUCUUAUUUGGUCUUAUUUCGAUAACUAAAUUAUCUUUUUCUUAUAGUCGUUUUUUAAAAUUUUAGAUUUUCUUUUCUUUUCUUUUUUUAAUAAUUAAAGAUUAAUAUGAGAUCCAUACUUCAAUUUAACCGAAGUGAAUCGCCAAUAUGCCUGUAAAUUCCAAAAUGGAGAAUUUAGAAUGUAAUGAAUAGUCAUGACAAGGACACCAUGGCAAAGGCCAUUUUCUUAUCCAACUAUGCUAUCCUAUAAACAACUAAUGGCCAACCAAAGUUGCCAUAAACAACUAAUUGUGGGGAUUACGAUGACAACAAAAUUCUUCUUACUUCUUUCCCCUCUCUAAUAUUUUCUUAAUUUUACAUCUUAAGUGCCAAUCACUUUUUAUUUUGCUACUUAAAAUGUGCUUCUAUUAUAUUUUUAAAUUAUUUUAUGAUAGACGUUAAAAUUUUUUUAUAAUCAAUCAUAAAGUCAUGUGACAUCUUUAUAUAAAAAAAUAAAUAUCUUUUAUUAAAUGUAUAUAAACAUUAAAAUAUAUAAAAAUGGAAAUUAAUAUAAUCUGAAAAAAAAGAUAUAAAUUAUAAAUAAUUUAUAAAAAAAUAUAAAAUUUACAAAAAAAAUACGAUAAAUAAAAAUAAAUUAGUUGAAAUUAAUGAUAUUAUUAUAAAAAAUUAUAAUUUUUUAAUUUUUUAUAUAAUUAUAAAAUUCUAAAAUUGUAUUUCAGUUUCAAGGGUUUUUUUUUUAAAUUACUUGAAAUUUAAAUACAUCUUUCAUUUUUAUAACAUUUAUCAACUUUUAUAUAUUAUUUUGAAUUUUAAAUAUGUAUACUUUUAUAUUUUAGAAUUUUAUAAAAAAAAUAUUUUUAAACUUUUAUUUUAAUUUUUUAUAUAUUAUAUAUGACAUAUAAUGCACUAAAAUAUAUUAUGUGUAAAUAUUUUAUAUAUAAAAAUAUUAGUUAAUAAAAUAUAUAUUUUUAAUUUAAAUAUAAUAAAACCGCACAUUUCUAAAUAAGUAUUACUUUUACACCAUUAUCUAUAAUAUAUACAAAAGCAUGAGUUUAGAAAAACUUUUGAAUUGAGGAGAAUAUCAGUUAUUUUCUAUAAUAUUAAUAAAUUAACUUUAAAAAUAAUUAUAUCUUAAUUUAGAAUUAUUAGUUAAAAGGUUGUGCUAAUUUUAAAAUAGAGUUAUUACUUGAAUAGGGCACUAAGCAUAACACAAUAAAAAUUUUGUGAUAAUUAUAAUUAUAAUUUAAUUUAAUCUACAAUUAUUAGUUACAAAAUUUUGACAGUAAAAAAAUUGUGCUAAUUUUAUUAUUGUAAAUAGAAUUAUUACCAAUUAAAGUUUAUAUUUAGCUUUAUAAUAACAUUCAGCAUAUUCAAUCAAAAUAUGGUGAUUUCUUUCUUUAAAGAGUUUGAUGUUGUUUUGAAUGGGCUUGGUAACUUAAAUGCAAGGCGCCAUGUAAACCAUCUUUACUUGGUGGAUGAUAUCCCAUUGGUUGAAAGUGGGAGCACAAGGUUUUGGUUUUAACUAGGUUGCUCAUAUUCAUGCUUCAUCCUGUUUUUCUUUAUGCGAUAUAAAUUCACACAAUUUGCUUUGAUUUUCGUACUAUAUAAACUAUAAUCUUGAGUUGGACUAUUUUAUGCAAGCAAAUAGUUCCUACAACUCAAUCCUAAAGCAGAUGACCUAUGAGUAGCAUCGUAGUUUCUGUUUGUACAUUUUUUUUUUUAUGAAACUAGCUAUGAACUGAAUCCCCAUAAAAGAACUAAUAGCCAACCAAACUUAGCACUUGGAAUUUGUUAGGGAUGACUAUGAUCACCAACCCUUAAACACUGCUUUUGAGAGUAUUGGGAAGCAGAGAAGAGGCCAUCUCGGUUUCAGGAUCUGGUUUCUUCUUUUUACUUUGCUUGAUUUCACCAUAAAAGUAGGAAAUGAAGCCCCACAGCGAGAGAGCAAGUGACACACCCUUCUCGGCUUGAAACUUCUCAUUGAAGAAAAAUACUGCCAGAAUCUCUGUAACUGGUAAUAGAACCGCAAUCACUACAGCCGAUAGCAAUGAUGACGCACAAAACACUACUCCAAUUGCUCCCAAGAAGAAACAUUGAUUUAUUAUUGCACUAAAAAUCACAACCACAUGGUAUUUUGUUUCUCCUAGCUCGAAUUCCCUUGCUUCCCUUCCGAUCACCUGCAAAUAAAAAUAACCUUUCAAGUUUUUACGUACUUGUUCAUUGUAGUUAUAGAAUGAAAUCAUUAUAUUAAAUAAAACCUCUUUAAUCAAGAUUAAUAAACUCGGCUUCAGUUUCCUUCUAAAAAAAGGGUUUAUCAUCAUAGCUAGUUGUCGAUACUUUAUUAUUUCAUACCCUAUAGCUCAAUUAUGUGGAUUUCAUCAAUUAACAAAUUUAAUUAAUUAUUAAACUUUUAAAUUAUAUUUAUUUUUAAACGUUGUGAUUUUCUUUUUCUAUUAAAUUUUGAAAAAAGAAUCAAACUAUAAUGUUAUAAUCAAAAUAUAAAAUAGUUAAAAAAUUAAAAAAAAAAAAACUAUUUCAUCAGACUUCACUCAUUUGUCCUGUAAGAAGAGGAAUAGCUAAGAAAGAGACGAAAAAACAAACCUUGAAAUCAUUGUUGACCAGCAUCCCAACGGUGCAAAAGCCAGUAGCAACCAAACACAUCACCAACUGAAUCUCCAUCACAAGGGCGUAGCUAAUCUCUUGCUUUGCCUUCUUGUACGUUAGUUCCACCAAUGGCAAUAUAAAUCCGUACAAAGCCGCUGCAGCUAAGGUCAUUACGAACCCCAAAAUAUAUUCCUUGUUGGAUUCAUUCGCAGGCCGGUCGCUGCUCGAAUGCAAAGCCAGAACGCCAGCCCCUAUGGUCAACAAAAACACGGCGUUUACGGAGUAGGCAGUGAACUUUUGUUUCACCAACAGGAAAGCAAACCCCGCCGUGAAAGCCAACUGCGACGCGAUGAUCAAAGAAGAAGUCGAAACGGGGAGACGAGAUAAGCCAUAGGAGUAGAGGUAGUUAUCGAGGCCACUGAGGAUCCCGAGGACGAUAGCGGCAACGAACAACGGUCGUUCCAUACAGAUAAGCUUGUUUUCCGAGGUGGGAUUGGCCGUCCUGGAACGAUGCACGGUUGCACAAGCGAUGGGGAGCAAGAUGAUGGGGCAACCCGCGGUCUGGAGCCAGCUCGAGAACCAGAUUCGGUUGCCACCAUGGAUGAAGUAGAGGCGCAUGAUAAGUGGACUACCGCAGUUGCCUAUUGAAAGCAUGAUGCAGUUUAUUACUAGGAGAGCUUUUCUCAUGGUGGUGCCAUCAUGUUUAGGUUCCUUCACCUCCAUCUGUUCUGUAUUUGGAUUUUUUGCAUCUCCUUCCUCCAUUUCCAAGCUAUUUGUAACAGAAUUUAUCAAAGAAACAGAGGUCAAUUACAUGUACGGAAAAAGCUAGAGUUAGCAGAAUUUAGCAUGUAAUGAAUAGUUAUUACAUGGAGACUAUGGCAAAGGCCAUUUUCUUAUCCAUGUAUCCAUGAAAUGAAUUCCUAUAAACAACUAAUAGCCAAUCAAAUUGCCAUGAACAACUGUUGGGGAUUAGGGAUUACGAUGAAAACGCAAUUCUACUGUGCCUCUUUUUUUGUCUACCAAUUCGUGAUUUCGCUUUUGGAGAAUAUUUAUUUUUUCAUUUUGGUAUUGAUUUUUUUUAAAUUUUAUAUCUAAAUUCUAAUCACUCUUUAAUUUGGUACCUAAAGUAAUCUUAUGACCAAUCACAAAGUGACAUGUGACGUCUUUAUGUAAAAAAACAAAUUUUUUUAUUAAAUGUAUACAAUUAUUAGAAUAUAUAAAAAAUUAGAAAUAUAUAAUCUAAAAAACAUAUAAUUUAUAAAUAAUUUAUAAAAAAAUAAAAAUUACAAAAAAAAUACUAUAAUUGAAAAAAAAAAGUUGAAAUUAAUGAUACUAUUACAAAAAAUGUAAAAGAAAUUAUAAAUUUUUAAUUUUUUUAUAUAAUUACAAAAUUGUAUUUCAAUUUCAAGGUUUUUUUUUUUGCAAUUACUUGAAAUUUAAAUACCUUUUUCAUUUUUAUAACAUUUUUCAAUUUUUUUAUAUAUUAUUUUGACUUUUAAAUAUUUAUAAGUUUAUAUUUUAGAAUUUUAUAAAAAAUAUUUUAAAACUUUUAUUUUAAUUUUUUUAUAUAUCAUAUAUGAUUUUUUUACAUUUUUAUCAAUAUAAUACAUAAUAUUAAAAAAAUAAAAAAGGACAUGUAGUAUUCUAAUAGUGCCACAUAGCCGGUCAACACUAGUCAACUCCAAUCAACAAUCGAUUAAAGUCAAUUGAUUUUUGGUUGACCAAAUGUUGACCGGUGUUGACUAGCAUGGAUCGGGCUUUGACCAGUAUGUGGCACUAUUAGAAUACAACAUGUGUCCUUUUUUAAUUUUUUUAAUAUUAUAUAUUAUAUGGAUUAAAAUGUAAAAAAUCAUAUAAUAUAUAUAAUUAAAAAAGGUAUUUAAAUUUCAAGUAAUUGUAAAAAAAACUUGAAAUUUAAAUAUUUUUUAGAAUUUUAGAAUUAUAUAUUUUAAAAUUUUAUAAAAAAAUUAUUUAAAGGCUACUUUGGCUACCGAAAUGGCCUAGAAAAAUCGUUUAAUUUCGUAAACUUUUACUUGUCUGAUUUUCUUUUAAAAAAACUUAUGAGUCAAAAACGUCCAAUUAUUAAGUCAAAUAAAUUUAGAGUCCAGUUUAUUAAAAAUCAUGUCAUUUGAAAAAUUCGUAUGAUAUUGUCAAUUAGCUUUUUAUUUUUGAAAAAAAAAAUCCUAUUUCAUUGUUGCGCAAUAAAAAAAGUGAAACAUUUAGUUUUAUACGAAAAAUCGUGUUUUAUGCCAUAUUAAGCCAGUUAUUAGGGAUAUUCGAUUUUUAACAAAAUUCCAUACAUGCAAAAUCUCAAUAAAAAACAAUCUCAUGCCACAAUCCAAAAUUAAUAAAAUUACAGUCCCAAUAAAAACCAUAAUAAAAAAAGUAGAAUUUAAAUUUGCUUUAUCAAUUAAAAACCGAGAUGACACCUCUAAAUGUUAGGUCCGACCUUAACCUCGAGGGUUAUCUGUAAGGAUAAAGCUAUUAGGGUGAGCUUUAAAAAGCUCAGUUUGAAUCUUCACAGAAUAAAUAAUGUAUCUACAUGCAGACAGUCAAAUUACAAUAAAACGUAUAUCCAACAACAUUCCUGAGAUCAUAGUAGAGCACGACAUCAUAAAAAUACAAUUUUAUAUGCGUGGACAUGCUCAUAUGAAACAGUGCAAAAAUUUCUACCCAUUCAUCCGCUACACACCAUGAGUUCCCUAGAACUCAUCAUCCGAACACCAAAACAAUAAGAGUCGUAGCUCAAUGUGGAUAAAACACCAGUAAGAAUUUGUAGUUAAACUGCCAGUAAUUUUGCAGACAAGCUACCAGUAAGUUACGGAUAAACCGCCAGUACUUCGAACAAUACUUCAGGGUUGCAGAUUAAUUGCUAGUAUAAUAUUGCGGAUAAACAGCCAGUACUCCACGGAAUUCCUCCGUCACCCAUCAAUCCUAAUCCCUAUGCAAUGCGACAUGUCAUAUGAAUAAUGUAGCAAAUCAUGCUCAUCAAUAUUAAUUUCAAUAACGGCGGCAUACUUAACAUGCAUUGAGUAAUACAGUAUCGGUGGCAUGCUUUACAUGCAAUCAAUAUGUACGUUAAUAUUCAGUGGCAUGCUUACAUGCAAUCAAUAUACGGUAAUAUUUAUUGGCAUGCUUACAUGCAAUCAAUAUACGAUAACAGUCAAUGACAUGCUUUACAUGCAGAUUAUUUGCUAGUAUAAUAUUGUAGAUAAACAACCAGUACUUCACGGAAUUCCUCCGUCACCCAUCAAUCCUAAUCUCGAUGCAAUGUGACAUGUCAUAUCAAUAAUGUAGCAAAUCAUGCUCAUCAAUAUCAAUUUCAAUAACGGUGGCAUGCUUAACAUGCAUUCAGUAUAUAAUACAGUAUCGGUGGCAUGCUUUACAUGCAAUCAAUAUGUAUGGUAAUAUUCAAUGGCAUGCUUACUAUAACAGCUCGUUUUUAGUGAAAUCGGAACAGUGGUUUUGGGAUCCCAAAUCCGAAGUCGUAAAAAUCAUUUUAAUAUUAUUUUAAUAUAUACAACAUGAUAAUAUGAUAGUAUAAAAAUUUCGUUAAGAAAUUUUACCAUUUGUAUACUCAAUUUGUGAAAAAAAAACUAAAUCGCGUAAAGUGCGAAAGUUGUGUUCUAAUAGCUAAAGGUGUUAAAUAGCUAUAGAACUUUAAAGUGGAGGUCCUUAUGUGGUAAUUAGACCAUUAGAUGAGUUAGUGGAUGUGCAUGGCUUGGUAUUUGAGUAAUUUUUAAAGUUAGGUAAGGGUAAAAUGGUAAUUAAGUAAUUAAAUGUUAAAUUAAAUAAAACAAAACAAAUGGCCAUCCUUCUCUUUCAUUUAUCCAUUGAAAUUUUUAGCAAAAAGCUUUGGAAAGCUUGAAUUUUUCAGCCACAAAACCACUUGCAUAUAAGUGCUAUCUCAUCCCAUUUUUGUUGAUUUUUAUGUUUUUGGGAUCGUUGUAGCUUAACCUAACUAACUAGGGGACUAAUUUUCAAAACUAUUAAAUAGUUUGAGAUUUUCCAUUAAUGAAAAUGCUAGGGUUUGAAGUUUAAUGGAAGAAAAUGAAUCCUUUUUGUUAAUUAAACAACUAUUGUUAAGUGAGUUUUGAUAAAAUUGUCAAUUAAGGAUUAAAUUGAGAAAUAUGUAAAUUGAGUGUAAAUAUGUGAAUUUGUGAAAUGUAUGGGCUGAUAUAGGUACUUAUGAAAUUCGGCUAGGCUCGGUUUGUAGUGAAAUUUCAUGAAUUUCAUUUUGCGAGCCUAGGGACUAACUUGUAAAAAAGGUCAAAAGUAUAGGGGCUAAACGGUAAUUUUUCCAUAACAUGAAAUUUGGAUUAAAUUGAUUAGAAUAUUGAUUAAAUGAGUUAAAUUUGAUUAUAUAGAUCAAGAAAGGUAACAUUCGAAACUAUAUCGGGGAAAGGAUAAAGUCGUGGAAUAAACGAUCGUAUUUCUCCGUUCGAGUUUGAGGUAAGUUCUUAUAGAUAAAUUACGUAUUUAUAUGUUUUGAUUGAAAUAUAUGUAUGUGAAUAGUUUAAUUAUUAUGUAUAAUUAUUGAGCCCAUAACCGACGAUAUACGAAUAAUAUCGGGCCCCAUUUGAACCUUAGAAAUUCGUAGGAUACAAAUGACAUGUCAUUAGAGUUACCGUUUUGGGUGAGGUCUUGCAUGUGUUGCUGACUCACCACAACUCGUAUGAGCUUAUCGGUUUGCAGCUCGUAUGAGCUUACUGAUAUUCAACUCGGAGGAGCUUACCGUUUAUACUCGUAUGAGCUUACCAAUUUGCAGCUCAUAUGAGCUUACUGAUAUUCAGCUCGGAGGAGCUUACCGUUUAUCGCUAGUAUGAGCCUACAUGUUCAGGAAUUGACAGAUUACAGUUUAGUAAACCUCGUGUGUACUACCCGCGUAUCUAACGAGAUUCUAAGUGGUUUAAUAGGCGUAGUGUAUUACGAGAUUAUAUAAGUUCGAUGCGAACUAUUACAGGUGGUUACAUGGAGAUGGUUUAUAUAUUUGAUAUACGGAUAUACAAUAUAAAUAUUACAUGUACAUGGAAUUCUAAUAAUUUUUUGAAUUCAUACAUGAUUCUCGGUUUUAUAUGUAUACAUGGCUAACUUGGUGAAUGGUUAUGUGAGAGGCUUUCACCAAAUUGAAUUGAGUUACUUGCCUAAAAUUUUGGUUAUAUGGUAAGUUUAAUUCUAUGUUUUACAAACUUACUAAGCUUAAUUGCUUACUCCGUUUAUUUUUCCGUGUUUUAUAAUGUCUCGAAAGCUCAUUCGGAUUGGAAGUCGUCAAUGAUCGCAUCACACUAUCAAACACUCAUUUUGGUACUUUGGACUAUAUAUAUUUUGGUUAAAUGGCAUAUAUAGGUGUUUUGCCUAAUGUAGCCUAUAUGUCGUGUUUUGGUAAUUUAAUUUGGCUUAAAAAUGGUAUAUGUUUGGUUAUGUAAAUAUGUAUAAAUAACUUUAUGGUAUGUGGUGUAUAGUUGUUAUGUGAAUGCCUUGUUUGUGAAUUGGUAUUUUGGGUACCAAAUGAUUGAAAUUGAGAUGUGAUAGGCAUGUUGAAUUUAGGCACAAUGUCUCAUAUGUGAGUUUGACCAGUUAGGUAUAUUUUGGAAGUGUGAUUCGUAUGUUUCAAAGUGGUCAAUAGAUGUGAUUAUGGAUAUCAUGUUGUAUGUGUGGAUAUUACAUGUUAUAAACUUGGUAUUGAUUGGUUUUGAAUGCUUAUUUAUGCCAUGGUUGUAUGUGCAUUGUUGAGCUUAGGUUGGUACCACAUUGGGUGAGAAAUAUGGCUUGGAAAAUGACCUAUUUUUGUCUACACAGGCAGAGACAUGGGCAUGUGUCUCAGCCGUGUGUGACACACGGGCACGUGACACGACUGUAUGUCCCCUGAUACUUCUAUAGAAAUCAAGUUAGUAGCUUCAUACGACCUAGCACACGGGUGUGUAGCUUGGCCGUGUGGUACAAGUCAAUAUACCUUCCAAUUUUCACACUGCCGAGCACAUUACCUGGCACACAGGCGCGUGAGGCCAUUACGAAGGGUACACGGCCUGGCACACGAGCGUGUGGGUUUGCCGUGUGACCCAAGUCAGUGAGUUACACGAGGUCAGACACGGACUGAGACACGACCGUGUGAUCCCACUUCGAAUGCCCACACGGCCUAAGAUACAGGCAUGUCUCACACGUGGCCACACGGGCGUGUCCCCUGUCCUUAAAAAAAUUUUCAUGUUUUUCUAAAAAUUUCUUAAGUACUUGGUUUAGUCUCGAACCACUUUUAAUGUCUAUUUAGGGCCUCAAGGGCUCAUAUCAGAGACUAUAUGAAUGAAAUUGAAUGGUUUUUUGUUUGGAAUGAGAUAUGAAUAUGAAAUGUAUGAUUGUUUGAGUUAUAAGUUCGGUAAUGCUUCGUAACCCUAUUCUGAGGUCGGAUACUAGUUAGGGGUGUUACACUUACAUGUAAGCAAUAUACGGUAAUAUUUAUUGGCAUGCUUACAUGCAAUCAAUAUAUGAUAACAAUCAAUAACAUGCUUUACAUGCAAUUAAUUUAACAAUAACAAUAAACAUGCUAUAAGACAAGUAAUAACAGUGGAAAUUAACCAAUUUCAUCAAUCAUACAAUCGACUUUAAUCUUUAUAGCACUUACACAUUUGGAUAGACACGUCUAAGGCCCUAGAACAUUCUACCAAUAGCAAUUAGGGCACCUAUUGCAUUUGGCCAAGCCGCCUUACCACUUACUAGAUUCGACCAACCUCAUGGGUGUCUUUAGGCCAUUUGACUAUCACCCAAAUAACACAUACAACGCAUGCUUUUAGCAAUCAUCAAUACAAAAAUUUAGGACCCGCACUUAAAUAACGAAAUCCGAAGCACUAUCGCUAAUCAGUAGUUCCUAAGUUUCAAAUCUGACUAAAUCUAGUUCAAAUCUGUACCUAACACAAAGAAAUACUUGUUAAAAAUUAGCCCGUGAUCCCCCUAUAGGGUUCGGGCAGAUCAGAGAAAAAAUGGUGACUAUUCAAAUUUGAUUUUGGAGUUAACUUACUCUUUUGCUGAUUUAACAGGUGAUGUGUUCGGCCUUCUUAUGAUAUCACUGACGAUUUGAGACGUUUAGAUCUAAACCUUCCACAAAUUAAACACAAAAGAAAACAUGUGAGAAUUGGCCAAAAAUGGAUGGUAGAUUCGACCACAAUAAAUAAAGAAGAAGAAAAAAGGGAAAAACAAAACAAAAAGAGAAUGAGAGGUUAUUAAUGGACGACGGCAACAAUGGUGACCAACUAAUAAAGUGACGACAACAGUGAGAAAAUGGGAGAGUAGAGAGGCAGCAACAAUGGAGAAUCAAUAGCAAAAGAAAGAAAAUGAGGACGAGAGGAGAAAUGAGAAGGGGGACAGAAAAGAGAAGAGGAAAAAUGACCAAAAGAGGCUGAAUAGAAAAAUAAAAUACUGUUUAUACCUAGGGUUACAGCAUGGGACGGCACAACUAGGGUUUUUGCCAAAAAUACAGAAAAUAAAAAUUAUACAAGGGAAGGGAUUCAAACUCGAGUUUUGAAGAUAAUUUCACUAAUACUUAACCAUCAUAUCAGCAACUCAUUUAUAUUCAAUUACAAAAGAUAACAGUAAAAUUAGGGUGUGACAAAUGAUGUCCCAUUGGUUGAAAAUGGGAGCACAAGGUUCUGGUUUUAACUAGGUUUCCUUUCUAGGUUGCUUAUAUUCAUGCUUCAUCUAAUUUUUCUUGAUGCAAUUACAAAUUCACACAAUUUGCUUUGAUUUAUAUGCUAUAUAACCUAUAAUAUUAUGUAAUACCCCCUACCUGUAUUCGUCGCCGAAAUGGGGUAUGAGGCAUUACCAGAUUUUACAGAAAAAAUUUUCAUUAUUACGAGUUAAAUACUAUUCAUUUAUCAAAACAUGUCAUGACGUCCCUUGGUUGGGCCUCCGAAGCCCAAAACAUACAUCGGGACCAAAUCGGGAUUAAAUCGAAACCAUAAGAAAUUUUUCGCAAAAUCCCAAAGUUUUUUUUUAACUCAAUAUAACUCCUUUAUAAGUAUCUAAUCUUCCCUGCAAUUUUAAACCGAGACCAAUCCAACACAACCAAUCCAUUUCAAUAUAUUUUCAAGAUAGAUUUAACGUAUUCAUAAGAUAACCUCAUCACAUACCAAGACCAAAAUUUGUUAGCCAUACCAAUGGCUAACCAUACAUUCAUUUCACAUUAACAUUUACUUUAUUAGCUUAUACAUGCUAUUGAUUUCCAAAAUAAAGUUUCUUUAUAUACCGAGAUCUUAAGGUUGAUAGUGUGAUGUGUCUCCGACCAAAUCCGACCUCCGAGCUCUUAACACUACAAAACAGGGGAAAAGGAAACAGGGUAAGCACUUUGUGCUUAGUAAGCUCAUGUAAUAGGAAUUAUACUUACCUAAUAUUUUCAAUACAAUGCAAUAAACAUUCAUACAUCCAUUCAAUACAUUAUUCCCCUAACAUGCACAAACUCAACAUUUAAGUUAGUUCAAUAAUUCCAUGUAUCAAUAAUAUAUAUAUCACGAUUGAUGAGCUUAUCAAUACCAUGAUUUUCAUUCCCUUGUUAUUUUUCCAUAUUUAUCCUGUUGAACUUCUUGGAAUUUCGAUGGAUUUUCAGGGGUACACUUUAGUGUACAAAUUCUAGUCNNNNNNNNNNNNNNNNNNNNNNNNNNNNNNNNNNNNNNNNNNNNNNNNNNNNNNNNNNNNNNNNNNNNNNNNNNNNNNNNNNNNNNNNNNNNNNNNNNNNCAUAUUCAUGUGCGCACAUUUCCAUUUCAGAGAGCACACUCCCGCGAACCUCAUCCUUACAGCGGGAUUACCAGUCCAGGCUAAAUCCCCUGUAAUAUAAACUUAUACAGUAUUGUCGGGAUUACCAGUCUAGGCUAAAUCCCCUGCAACGACAAUUACUCUAAUGAGCUUGGAUCUGAAUUACCAGUCCAGGCUAAAUUCAGACCCUAAUUCGGAUUACCCGUCCGGGAUGAAUCCAUUUUCCACAUAUUCUUCGGGAGGGCUAUAUCAGAAUAGGAUCACCCAUCCGGGCUAGAUCCUUUUUACCGUCAAUUCCUUUUCAGAGAUUCAUCGAAUUUUCCUUCCAUUCAACCGGGAUUUAUUUUCUCUUUUCAUCAAGAAUAUCAAUACUUCAUCAAUUAUCAUACAAUAAACAUCCAAAUCAUAUUCACAUCAAGAAAAUAUAUUUCAAGCAUUUAAGAAUAUAAUUCAAGUUACAUGAACUUACCUCGAUACUUGUUCGUAAACAAAAAUCUACUAAUCCCGAACUUUUUCUUUUCCUCGAUCUAGCUUCGUAUUUGAAUUUUCUGGAUCUAAAUAAAUAAAUUUAAUCAUUAAUCUAAUACAUUUCAUGUUCAUAUGUAACAUUCUCUAUAAUUCCAUUAUUAUUUAUAGUUCAUUCAAAGUUAUCUUAUUGAGUCAUAGUCAUUAAAUUAUUUAUAUCUUGAGAUACGGAACUCCAAAUUAAGAUCCGCUAAUUUUUCCUAAAACUAGACUCAUAUAUCUUCUUACCAUAAAAUUUUUAGAAUUUUUGGUUUAGCCAAUAAGUACAGUUUAUUCUUUAAAGUUUCCCAUGUUUCACUAUUCGACAGUUCCGACCCCUCUUCACUAAAAAUUAAUUAUCUCAUUGUAAAGAAUUCAGAUGAUGUUCUUGUUUGUUUAUUUUGAAAAUAUACUCAUUAAGUAUUUUAAACAUAUAAAUUUAAGCUCCUAGUUAUUUUUCUCCAAUUUUUGAUGAUUUUCCAAAGUCAGAACAGGGGAACCCGAAUUCAUUCUGACCUUGUCUCACAAAAUCUAUUAUAUCUCAUGAUUUACAAUUCCAUUACUUACAUCGUUUCUUUUAUAAGAAACUAGACUCAAUAAGAUUUAAUUUAAUAUUUUAUUCAUCCUAUAAUUAGAUCUCUACAAUUUUUGGUGAUUUUUCAAAGUUAGACUACUGUUGUUGUCCAAAACUGUUUUAGUGCAUGAUGUUAAUUACCAUUUUUCCUUAAGCUUUCAAUAAAUGAUAAUUUCAUCCCUGCUCAAUUUACCUCUCAAUUGAGCUGGUUUUUCUCAACCAGCACUUUAUUCUAUCACUUUAAACUAUUUUAUAACCUUUGUAAAUCAGAAUUUUAGCACUAGACUUUAAUUCCAAACCUUUUCACAAUUAGGUCCUGCAAAUCAAUUUCUAUUGAAAUUACCUAAUAAAAUAAUCUCAUAAAUAAAUUAAAGCUUCAAUUUCAUGCUAUUUCAUCAUAAAAUUCCAGAACAUAUUCAUAGCAACUUUCAAUUUCAUUCAUAAAAUCAAAAACUAAUGAAUUUAGUAAUAGGACCUAGUUGUAAAAGUCUUAGAAACACAAAAAUUACAAGAAAAAGGCAAGGAUUAACUCACUUGGUGCAAAAAUUAUGAAAAACCAGCUUGAAUAAACCCUUAGGACGUUUUUGGCUGAUGAGAAUGCAGAAAAAUAAAGAGAAUUCUAGAUAUUCCAAUUUGGUCCCAUUUUUAUGUUAGUAAAAUAUGUUAUUUUCCCAUUUUACCCUUAUUUCACCAAUUCUCCUGAUUUUUCUCAGCUUAUGCCGCCAAAAAUAUCUCCUUUUGGGCUUAUUUUCAAUUUAUGUCCCUCCUCAUUUAACAAUUGAGCUAUUUCAUCUUUCUAGUAACUUUUACCCCUUUUUCAAUUUAGUCCUUUUCACUUAAUUGACUACCCAAAUAUUAAAAUUUUCUAACGAAAUUUUAAUACCAUAUUACUAACACUUCAUAAAUAUUUAUAAAAAUAUUUCCGACUCAGUUUUACAAGGUCGAGGUCUCGAUACCUUGUUUUUACCUAAUUUCUUUAAUAAUUUCUUUUUCUAACUAACCACUAAAUCGAUAAAAUUCUUCUAUCUAUAUUUUUAUACGAUUUUCCUAUCAUAUCAAUAUUCAUGCAAAAAUAUUAAAAUAAAUUUAUCUUUAAAUCGGAUUUGUGGCUACGAAACCACUGUUCCGAAAACCUUGAAUUUAGGCCAUUACAUAUUAAGUUUGACUAUUUUAUGCAAGCAAAUAGGUACUUAUUGAAGGAACUCAAUCCUAGAGCAAGUGACCUAAGAGUAGCAUCAUAGUUUUUGUUUGCACAAAGUUUGUUUCUCUUAAUAAAUUCUAUUGAAGGCUUCAUAAAAUAUUAUAGAAAAAUAGGUCCGAUGCUAAUUUUAACUAUGCAGCGAGGUACCUCUAAAAUAUGCUUGAAAAGUUUUUUGUUUUUACUUUCUUCCAUUGGUAGAAAAGCAUUAUUGUUUUCCUAACAACAAUGGUACUAGGGAGUGAUCGAAGACAACAAUGGUAUUAAUAAGUGAUCGAAGAUUAACUUUAAUAGAUGAUGAUACUACAAUAUUAUGAUAUUAUUUUUUAAAAUUUUCUAUAAAUUUAUAUUGUGUGAAGCAAAUACUCUUAAAAUCGUUUGCUUUUUUAUUUAUAUGUUAUUUAUUAUUAAAUUUUAACAAUUAUUUUUUAAUCACUUGUUUAUUAAUUUAAUUUAAAUAUUUUUCAUAUUUAUCAUGAACUAUUAUUAUAGUUGGUGUAUGUUGUUUCACCCUUUUUAUUAUUUUCAAAUUGACAUUAUAAUUUACUUUCUCAUAUAUUUAUAAAUUUGUAUAUUAUUUAUAAACUAAGAGAAAUUAUUAUUAUCAAUCGUAGCAAUAAAAGUUCAUUAAAAAUUAAACAUGUAAUAACAUUAGAAAUUAAUUGAUUAAAGACACAUUAAUUAUUUAUAACUAUAAUCAACAUUAUCAUCUACACACCUUAAAUUAAUUAAAUUUAUUUAUUAACUAAUUUAUUAGAUUUAGUAUAACUGAUUUAUACAUUAAAUAAGCCCAUGUAUGGCCAGGCUAAUAUAUAUCAAUAGACACUAUGGCAUAGGGUAAGGUUAUUUUCUUAUGAAACUAGUUACGAACUCAAUCCCCAUAAAAAAAAAAAAAAAACUAAUAGCCAACCAAAGUUGGCACUUGAAAUUUGCUGGGGAUAACUAUAAUCACAACACUUAAACACUGCUUUCGAGAGUAUUGGGAGGCAAAGAAGAGGUUAUCUCAGUUUUAGGAUCUGGUUUCUUCCUUUUGCUUUGCUUGAUGUCACCAUAGAAGUAGGAAAGGAAGCUCCCCAACGAGAGAGCAAGUGACACACCCUUCUCGGCUUGAAACGUCUCAUUGAAGAAAAUUACUGCCAGAAGAGCUCUGUAACUGGUAAUAGAAACAAUACCACAAUUCCCGAUAGCAGUGAUGACGCACAAAAUACUACCAAGAAGAAACAUUGCCGUAUUAUUGCACUAGAAAUCACAACCACGUAGUAUUUUGUUUCUCCCAACUCAAAUUCCCUUGCUUCCCUUCCAACCACCUGCAAAUAGAAAUAACCUUUCAAGUUUCUACAUCAAUUAUGUGGAUUUCAACAAUUAACAAAUUUAAUUAAUUAUUAAACCUUUAAAUUAUAUUUAUUUUAAAAGUUUUUAAUGAAACGUUUUCUUUAUGUAUUAUUAUAAUUAACGGUAUGAGAGAGCAGAGAUUACACUCCCUAUCGUAAAAAUGAAUUUAGAUUUGGUUUUCUAAAAAUGGCAUGAAUUGAUAUACUAAAUAUAAAUUAGUUAAAAAUUAGUAAGAUUUAUAAAUUAAAAAAAAAAAACUAUUUCAGCAGACGUCACUCACUUGUCAUGUAAAGAAGAGGAAUAGCUAAGAAAGAGACGAAAAAACAAACCUUGAAAUCAUUGUUGAUCAGCAUCCCAACGGUGCCAAAGGCAGUAGCAACCAAACACAUCACCAACUGGGCGUAGCUGAUCUCUUGCUUUGCCUUCUUGUACGUUAGUUCCACCAAUGGCAAUAUAAAUCCGUACAAAGCCGAUGCAGCUAAGGUCAUUACGAACCCCGUAAUAUAUUCCCUGUUGGGCUCAUUCGCAGGCCGGUCGCUGCUCGAAUGCAAAGCCAAAACGCCAGCCCCUAUGGUCAACAAAAACACGGCGUUUAUGGAGUAGGCAGUGAACUUUUGUUUCACCAACAGGAAAUCAAACCCUGCCGUGAAAGCCAACUGCGACGCGAUGAUCAAAGAAGAAGUCGAAAUGGGGAGACGAGAUAAGCCAUAGGAGUAGAAGUAGUUAUCGAGGCCAGUGAUGAUCCCGAGGACGAUAGCGGCGAGGAACAACGGUCGUUCCAUGUAGAAAAGCUUGUUUUCCGAGGUGGGAUCGGCCGUCCUGGAACGAUGCAUGUAAGCACAAGCGAUGGGGAACAAGAUGAUGGGGCAACCCGCGGUUUCGAGCCAGCUCGAGAACCAGAUUCGGUUGCCACCAUGGAUGAAGUAGAGGCGCAUGAUAAGUGGACCACCGCAGUUGCCUAUUGAAAGGAUGAUGCAGUUUAUUACUAGGAGAGCUUUUCUCAUGGUGGUGCCAUC
This 18274-nucleotide long non-coding RNA is filed under the name Gossypium raimondii (Peruvian cotton). RNAcentral describes it as "long non-coding RNA (GRAI_LNC007077)". The record is from RNAcentral. Lineage: Eukaryota; Viridiplantae; Streptophyta; Magnoliopsida; Malvales; Malvaceae.